RNAcentral lists this ribosomal RNA (370 nucleotides) under uncultured organism. Its description in RNAcentral is "bacterial SSU rRNA". It matches the Rfam family "Bacterial small subunit ribosomal RNA", at positions 526 to 896 of the family's 1533-position model. The record is from RNAcentral.
CGAAGGGGGCGAGCGUUGUUCGGAAUCACUGGGCGUAAAGCGUGCGUAGGUGGCGAGGAAAGUUAGAAGUGAAAGCCCAGGGCUCAACCUUGGAAUUGCUUUUAAAACUCCCUUGCUCGAAUCUCGGAGAGGAUAGCGGAAUUGUCAGUGUAGCAGUGAAAUGCGUAGAUAUUGACAGGAACACCGGUGGCGUAAGCGGCUAUCUGGACGAGUAUUGACACUGAGGCACGAAAGCGUGGGGAUCAAACAGGAUUAGAUACCCUGGUAGUCCACGCUGUAAACGAUGUGUGUUUGUCGCUGGGAGGUUUACCUUUCGGUGACGGAGCUAACGCGUUAAGCACACCGCCUGGGAAGUACGGUCGCAAGAUUA